Molecule: ribosomal RNA, 490 nt
Filed under: uncultured bacterium
Lineage: Bacteria
Description: partial 16S ribosomal RNA
Rfam family: Bacterial small subunit ribosomal RNA
Source: RNAcentral
AUUGAACGCUGGCGGCAGGCCUAACACAUGCAAGUCGAAUGGUAACAGGAAACAGCUUGCUGUUUCGCUGACGAGUGGCGGACGGGUGAGUAAUGUCUGGGAAACUGCCUGAUGGAGGGGGAUAACUACUGGAAACGGUAGCUAAUACCGCAUAACGUCGCAAGACCAAAGAGGGGGACCUUCGGGCCUCUUGCCAUCAGAUGUGCCCAGAUGGGAUUCGCUAGUUGGUGGGGUAACGGCUCACCUAGGCGACGAUCCCUAGCUGGUCUGAGAGGAUGACCAGCCACACUGGAACUGAGACACGGUCCAGACUCCUACGGGAGGCAGCAGUGGGGAAUAUUGCACAAUGGGCGCAAGCCUGAUGCAGCCAUGCCGCGUGUAUGAAGAAGGCCUUCGGGUUGUAAAGUACUUUCAGCGGGGAGGAAGGGAGUAAAGUUAAUACCUUUGCUCAUUGACGUUACCCGCAGAAGAAGCACCGGCUAGCUCCGUG